Molecule: long non-coding RNA, 2777 nt
Organism: Fukomys damarensis (Damara mole-rat)
Lineage: Eukaryota; Metazoa; Chordata; Mammalia; Rodentia; Bathyergidae
Exons: 4
Source: RefSeq, a predicted model, not a curated record
GAGGGUGCCCGUGGUGGCGGCCGCCUUUGUGCUGAAUUUCUUCUCUGUUAUGCCUCCUUUGAGGAGUGACCUUUGCAUCCGGGGAUCUGCUCAGUAAUCCCUCCCUCGGGCCAUGGACUCCAGAGACAGACGGGCUGGACGUCAGCCUGGGCUUCCGUCCUGCUGUCCGCACAGAUGCCCCAGGCAGGCCCCAGCCUGUCUUGUUAUUAACACGAGUGUGUCUGAGGCCAGGAGGAUUCUGAGGGGAUUCACGGCAAAGUGUCGUUUACUGUAGUAAGUUUUUAAAAAAUUUUUAAAUAUUCACCAUGUAUUUUGAUCGCCCUGUGAAGCAAAAAUACCCCGCACUUCUAUACCAACGACUUAAUAUGAAGUUAGGAGUCCUGGGAGAUCCACGUUGGCUCUGUAUAAAGGCAAAUCUGUUUAUGCUGCCAUUGCAGCUCCCCAGGCCAAGCCCAGGACAUGGAGGUUCAGGCCACACAGCCAGGGCAGGGCAGAGCUGGGCCAGUCCGUCCACCUCCACUCCUCUCUGGAGUAAGGGAGGCGAGAUUAAUAAAAGGAAAGGCAGCACUCUGGCCUCAUCCCAGUCUGCCGCUGGGGCGGUGUCCCCAGGGUUCUGGUGUACGCUGGUGGAGGCAGGGGUCAGCCUGUGACAUGGUGUCCCCACGUCCUUCCACCCGAGAGUCCGUGGGCUCCUGCCAUCCCUGUCUCAGGAGUGCCCAGUGGGGACAGGGCAGGGGACAGGAAGGUGGUACUGGGGAGACAGAGGGGCUAGGGAGCUCAAGGGGACCCAGGUGUGAGUGAGACUCAGAAAGCUGUCCCCCUGCCCCAGCUCACCCAAGCCAGGCUGCAGCCAAGGCCCCACCAUCAGAGAAGGAGCCGGCCGGCCAGCACUGGCGUCUCUAGCUCCUGGACUGAGAUUAGUGGGAGAAUACAUUUCUGUUUUCUCAGCUGCUCAGUUUGUGGUCCUUUCUUAGAGGACUACCCUAAACACAAAGAAACACAGCGUUGCUGGCAUCCCAUUUGAUUCUUUGUUUACUUCGCAGAAGAAGAAGAAAAGGCGGCCAAGAUGGCCUUCCAAAGGCUCCGUCCCACGUUACCCAUGAAUCCACAGCGAGACAGUGCAGCGGCAAAGGCCAUGAGCUCUGGAGCCACAAAAGCCAGGGCUCACAGCCUAGUGCCCCGCUUUCCUGCUGUGAACCUUGCAACAGUGACUAAGCCCCUCUGGAUUCAAGUUUCCACAUCAAAAACAGGGAUGGUAAUCGUGUGAGGGACCAGCAUAUGCAUUACUAAGUGAUGUGUGCAGAAAUACAAGGUGUGGUGCGGUUUCCCUCUGCCAGGCCCUUCGGCUACACUGUUAUCCCUGAAACUUCUCAACUGCGAGUCCAAAGAACCGCCCCCUCCUUAAGUCACUAGUGCCGAGUGCCACAUCUUGGCAAUGAGAAAGUAACUAAGGCAACAGGUCAAGGACAGAGCCCCGCUGCUUACACUUUGACUCAGGCUCCUGCUCUCCAGAACUAUGAAGCAAUAAAACUGUGCAAGCCAGCAGCUGUGGGACACUUGGUGGCCCACGCAGAUGUGGACACUUGGUGGCCGGACAGAGGGCAUGUGCCAAUGUCAGGCGGCUCCGGGAGGGGAGGAAGGGAGAAGACAGGCAGAGCGUGAGUCGUCCUUCUGUCCCCAGAAAGAGGCUGGCUGAGACGGACAGGCGCAGAGCGCCUAUAAGGCAGUAAUUAACAGUCGCAGGCUUGUCCCCUCAUCCGAUGCUUUGGGGCAUUGUACGAGUCUCCAUUUUGCUGACUUUGGAGAAAAGAAUGGCGAUAAAUAAAUGUAAAGCACACUGGUGAUGGUGUGAAAUGAUGCUUCAUCUAAUUAUCGCUAUUCCGCGGUGUCAUUAACAUACACUCGUGGAGAAUGGUAAUGACUUUUGCAUUUAUAUCACAGCUCGGAUUUGCUGUCUUAAACCCACAGCGCAGGAACCCUGGGACGGAAUCUCUUACAGACAAACGAGAGGAAUGCACGACCAGGGGCAGGCGGAGAUGGCCAUUCUGGGUAGCACAGCUGUGACCCAAGGGUCACAGAACUCAAGAUGGUGGUCAGCAGCCCUGCUGGGGGUGUGGCCUGUGCUGAGAAGAGAGAGGGGCCAGCAAGACCUCAACCACUCAAGAAUCAGACCAGAAGCUGCAUAAGGAUGGAGCCAAGAAGUCGCUAAGACCAAGGCCAGAGAGCUGCAAUGGAACCGUAAGGACUCGAGGCACAGUGUGAGGGGGCAGAGGCAAAAGACAGAGGAAACGAGAUACCAGGAGGCAAGGAGAGGCAGUGGGUGGAGGAAAGCAGGUGGCAGGCGAGGGCUGGGCAUGGAGACACAGCAAGGCACCCACGGAGCAGAGGCUGAGAGGAGCGACCCUGCCAGCCGUGCCACACCUGCAACUGGUCCUGGUCCUGCCUCAAGGGUGAGCCCUGCACCCUGGAGCAUCUCACCACGCUCCUCCCAAGCAUUGGUCCUAACAGCCAGAAACCGGAAACAACUAAAGCACUCACAGGCAGAGGAAGACUUGUGACUUGUAGGAGACCCACGGUGGGAUAUUACACAGGUAUGAAGAUGAAUGGACAGCAGCUGUGCACCAAGAGUUUAAAUGAGCCUCAGGGGCGUCGUGGUGGACCCCAGAAGCUGGUCCCAGAAGACCACACAGGCCACGAGCUUCUCAGAGCCACCGAGCCUGCUGUUUGAUUUCACAAUUGUGUGCCAACCACUUAACGCAGGAAGAUAUUACUUAUAA